CCCAGGGAAACUUGGAGAUGCAUGAGAGAGGCAGGCUGCCUCUGUCCCUGCCCUGACAAAUGGGAUGCUAAUACAAAGGGUCUCUGUUAACUCCCCUGCCCCCUCAAACACACACACCUGCUGCUCCUGGGCUGUUCUGAUGGCACGGUAUCCUGGGAAGGAGCUUUCCAGAUCCAUAGCCCUGAAGAGAGAAGAGAGAAGAUCUCACGGACUGUUGAUCUUUCACCUUUCCCUCUCUGCUGUCCCCAACCUGUCAUCUGUGCCACAGAACUGAGGACCUAGUUGGAGAGACAGACAGGUGAGAUAGAUGGCUGAGAGAGGGACCAAACUGCCCCACCCCCAGCCAGCCCUUAAGAACCUCCUUUUAAAAUUGCUUUGCAUCAUAUUUCUCUCCCUGCUCAGCCCCACUGGCUCCAGCAG
Molecule: long non-coding RNA, 420 nt
Filed under: Homo sapiens (human)
Lineage: Eukaryota; Metazoa; Chordata; Mammalia; Primates; Hominidae
Description: HSALNT0297549
Source: RNAcentral